RNAcentral lists this ribosomal RNA (1664 nucleotides) under Plasmodium sp. type E2. Its description in RNAcentral is "SSU rRNA". It matches the Rfam family "Eukaryotic small subunit ribosomal RNA", at positions 37 to 1460 of the family's 1831-position model. Lineage: Eukaryota; Apicomplexa; Aconoidasida; Haemosporida; Plasmodiidae. The record is from RNAcentral.
UCAAAGAUUAAGCCAUGCAAGUGAAAGUAUAUAUAUAUUUAUUAUAUAGAAACUGCGAACGGCUCAUUAAAACAGUUAUAAUCUACUUGACAUUUUUUUUAUAAGGAUAACUACGGAAAAGCUGUAGCUAAUACUUGAACGACUGUUAUAUAAUAAUCCUCGGAUUUUUAUAUAAUAUGUAUUUGUUAAGCCUUAUAAGAAAAAAGUUAUUAAUUUAAGGAAUUAUAACAAAGAAGCAACACAUAAUAAAACUCUGUUUUAUUUAGUGUAUAUCAAUCGAGUUUCUGACCUAUCAGCUUUUGAUGUUAGGGUAUUGGCCUAACAUGGCUAUGACGGGUAACGGGGAAUUAGAGUUCGAUUCCGGAGAGGGAGCCUGAGAAAUAGCUACCACAUCUAAGGAAGGCAGCAGGCGCGUAAAUUACCCAAUUCUAAAGAAGAGAGGUAGUGACAAGAAAUAACGAUGCAAGGCCAAAUUUUGGUUUUGCAAUUGGAAUGAUAGGAAUUUAAAAACUUCCUAAAGUAACAAUUGGAGGGCAAGUCUGGUGCCAGCAGCCGCGGUAAUUCCAGCUCCAAUAGCGUAUAUUAAAAUUGUUGCAGUUAAAACGCUCGUAGUUGAAUUUCAAAGGAUCUAUUUUUAAAGUAACGCUUUAUUGGAACCCCAUUACUACGAUACUCAGUAUCAUGUUUUGGGGAUCCAAUAUUAUGUGUUCUUUAAAAUAAAAGAGAUUCUUUUUAAAAAUUCUUUAUUACAUUUUUAUGUGAUAAGAAUUUUUGUUACUUUGAGUAAAUUAGAGUGUUCAAAGCAAACAGUUUAAAACAGGAAACUGUGUUUGAAUACUACAGCAUGGAAUAACAAAAUUGAACAAGCUAAAAUUUUGUUCUUUUUUCUUAUUUUGGCUUAGUUACGAUUAAUAGGAGUAGUUUGGGGACAUUCGUAUUCAGAUGUCAGAGGUGAAAUUCUUAGAUUUUCUGGAGACGAACAACUGCGAAAGCAUUUGUCUAAAAUACUUCCAUUAAUCAAGAACGAAAGUUAAGGGAGUGAAGACGAUCAGAUACCGUCGUAAUCUUAACCAUAAACUAUGCCGACUAGGUGUUGGAUGAAAGUGUAAAAAAUAAAAGAUGAUCUAAUGUAACAGUUAGAUUGUCUUUUAGCUUGCUUCCUUCAGUACCUUAUGAGAAAUCAAAGUCUUUGGGUUCUGGGGCGAGUAUUCGCGCAAGCGAGAAAGUUAAAAGAAUUGACGGAAGGGCACCACCAGGCGUGGAGCUUGCGGCUUAAUUUGACUCAACACGGGAAAACUCACUAGUUUAAGACAAGAGUAGGAUUGACAGAUUAAUAGCUCUUUCUUGAUUUCUUGGAUGGUGAUGCAUGGCCGUUUUUAGUUCGUGAAUAUGAUUUGUCUGGUUAAUUCCGAUAACGAACGAGAUCUUAACCUGCUAAUUAGCGGUAAAUACAACAUAUUCUUAAGUAAAUAAGAAUAUAGAUAAAAAUAACAAAUAAGAGAAAAUAUUAGGAUGUUAUUAUAUAUAAUAUCCUUUUCCCUUUUCUUCUUAUUUUGUUUUUUUAUUCCAUUUCUUUUUUUACUUAAGAAUGUAUUUACUUGAUUGUAAAGCUUCUUAGAGGGACAUUGUGUGUCUAACACAAGGAAGUUUAAGGCAACAACAGG